This 434-nucleotide ribosomal RNA is filed under the name uncultured bacterium. RNAcentral describes it as "bacterial SSU rRNA". It matches the Rfam family "Bacterial small subunit ribosomal RNA", at positions 29 to 508 of the family's 1533-position model. The record is from RNAcentral.
AGCGAACGCUGGCGGCAGGCCUAACACAUGCAAGUCGAACGGAUCCUUCGGGAUUAGUGGCGGACGGGUGAGUAACACGUGGGAACGUGCCCUUUGGUUCGGAACAACUCAGGGAAACUUGAGCUAAUACCGGAUGUGCCCUUCGGGGGAAAGAUUUAUCGCCAUUGGAGCGGCCCGCGUCUGAUUAGCUAGUUGGUGAGGUAAAGGCUCACCAAGGCGACGAUCAGUAGCUGGUCUGAGAGGAUGAUCAGCCACAUUGGGACUGAGACACGGCCCAAACUCCUACGGGAGGCAGCAGUGGGGAAUCUUGCGCAAUGGGCGAAAGCCUGACGCAGCCAUGCCGCGUGAAUGAUGAAGGUCUUAGGAUUGUAAAAUUCUUUCACCGGGGACGAUAAUGACGGUACCCGGAGAAGAAGCCCCGGCUAACUUCGUGC